RNA transcript from Coffea arabica (coffee), 1814 nucleotides. It is a transcript of the gene named G-box-binding factor 4, with no coding region annotated. The record is from RefSeq and is a predicted model, not a curated record. Lineage: Eukaryota; Viridiplantae; Streptophyta; Magnoliopsida; Gentianales; Rubiaceae.
GAGAAAUCCUGAGUCAUUUCCCGGCGACAAAAAAAAGUACAGACAACAACAAAUAAUCAAUCAUCAGCCGGUCUAUCUAACCAAUAAUCAAAAUUUCCCAAAACCCUAGAAAAAAACACACUCACGCACUUAAAACCAUACAAAUUCACACAUCAACUCUAUCUCUCUCUCUCACACAUACACUAACUGGCACUCAUAAUCACUCACAUGAUCGCCCUCCCAUCUCCGUACUAUUAUGUCCUACUACCAUUCCUCCGAUCGAAGAAACCCUAGAAAUUCGUGACUCCGUUGACAGAAAUGGCGACGUCGAAGCUCAUGGCUUCUUCAACUUCGGCGGCGACUUCAUCUCAUAACUCCGAACUCCGUCGGAAUUCGCUUUCCAAAUCUGAUUUCCAUAAUUUCCGCAAUCAUCAUCAUUAUCAAAACUCUCCAAAUGCUGCGGCAGCUGUUUCUGCGACGACGACUGAGAGUACUUUGUUGAAUGCGGAAAUUACGCUUUUGGAUGCUUCCGGAGCGAUCACGCCCAUCUCGCCGGCGCCGGUGAGGAAGAAGACGGUGGAUGAUGUGUGGAGAGAGAUUGUGGCGGGGAAGACGGCAGCGAGCGAGCCGGCGAGGAGAGUGGAGCCUAAGGAGGAGGCAAUGGAUGAGAUGAUGACAUUGGAGGAUUUUUUGGUAAAGGCUGGAGCAGUGGAGGAAUCGGCUGUUGCUGCGGCGGCAGGAGUGGAGGGGGAGGUGAAGGUGGAGGCUGCUGCGGUCGCGGGGACGAGUGGGGGAAUGUUUGCUUUUGAUAGUCCGUAUAUGUCGAGGCAGGGGAGUGUGGAAAGUGGGGGAGGGCUGGGGUAUGCAAGUGCAGGAGGUUUGGAGACGAUGGGGAGUGGAGGACUAGGAGGAGGAGGAGGGAGAGGGAAGAGAAGAGCGUCGAGUUUAUUGGAGCCAAUGGAUAAAGCAGCGCAGCAGAGGCAGAGGAGGAUGAUUAAGAAUAGGGAGUCGGCUGCCAGGUCUAGGGAGCGAAAACAGGCGUACCAAGUUGAAUUGGAGGCCAUGGCAGUGAGACUGGAAGAAGAGAAUGAGCAGCUCUUGAAAGAAAAGAAUGUGGUGGCCAUAGGUUCAGUGUCCAUCUUUUAACACAUUAGACUGUGGCGGAGGCUCCUGAUCCAGUGGGACACUCGCUGUAACUUUCCUGUUUCUGUCCUUUAGGAAAGGGAAUUAGAAAUUAUUAGUUAUAACAAUCCUAUGUAGAGCUUACAUUGCCCUCGUGGAAGCACACUGUUGGGAGAUGCAGAAUUGCAGAUUUCAACAAAGGCUGAGAGAACAAAGGAAAGAUGCAAGCUGCUAAAGGAGAAAGUGAUCCCUGUUGUGGAGAAGCGAAGACCAGCACGCAUUCUGCGGAGAGUUCGGUCUAUGGAAUGGUGACUUUCUGUUAUGCACUUGAUGUGAAAAGGAAAUUGAACGUAUCUUAGCAUUGGUUGCAAGAUCCAGUUGUGGUCAUUGAUUGUGGAUAAGUAUUCUUAGUUGAGCUUCAGUCCAGUGGAAGGGUUACUGGUUAAUCUUGAGUGUUUUCUCUAGCCCUUUGAGAGAUUAAGUGAUUCUUGCUGUAAAUUGAAAUGGCUUAUACUCUAAUGGGUUCCAAUCUCUUACCAAAUCUAGGAUCUGUAAUAGAUAGUUGGAAUGGCAAACGUCAACAGAGACAGGUUCGUUCGCUCUAUGUACUUAGUUACGCAAUGCAAAGCUGUAGUUCCCCAAGUUGCUAAUGUCAAGGGAAAUAUAUAAAAUUAUUAUGUCCUAAUGAAGUCUGUCAUUGAAACGUUCGGUUA